GACGAACGCUGGCGGCGUGCCUAAUACAUGCAAGUCGAGCGAAGUUUUUCUGGUGCUUGCACCGGAAAAACUUAGCGGCGAACGGGUGAGUAACACGUAAAGAACCUGCCUCAUAGACUGGGACAACUAUUGCAAACGAUAGCUAAUACCGGAUAACAGCAUUAACUGCAUGGUUGAUGUUUGAAAGUUGGUUUUGUUAACACUAUGAGAUGGCUUUGCGGUGCAUUAGCUAGUUGGUGGGGUAAAGGCCUACCAAGGCGACGAUGCAUAGCCGACCUGAGAGGGUGAUCGGCCACACUGGGACUGAGACACGGCCCAGACUCCUACGGGAGGCAGCAGUAGGGAAUCUUCCGCAAUGGGCGAAAGCCUGACGGAGCAACGCCGCGUGAGUGAAGAAGGAUUUCGGUUCGUAAAGCUCUGUUGUUAGGGAAGAAUGAUUAUGUAGUAACUAUACAUAGUAGAGACGGUACCUAACCAGAAAGCCACGGCUAACUACGUG
RNAcentral lists this ribosomal RNA (499 nucleotides) under uncultured bacterium. RNAcentral describes it as "partial 16S ribosomal RNA". It matches the Rfam family "Bacterial small subunit ribosomal RNA", at positions 28 to 507 of the family's 1533-position model. The record is from RNAcentral.